AUACGUAGGGAGCAAGCGUUGUCCGGAUUUACUGGGUGUAAAGGGUGCGUAGGCGGCAAUGCAAGUCAGAUGUGAAAUCUAUGGGCUCAACCCAUAAACUGCAUUUGAAACUGCGUUGCUUGAGUGAAGUAGAGGCAGGCGGAAUUCCCCGUGUAGCGGUGAAAUGCGUAGAGAUGGGGAGGAACACCAGUGGCGAAGGCGGCCUGCUGGGCUUUAACUGACGCUGAGGCACGAAAGCGUGGGUAGC
This 247-nucleotide ribosomal RNA is filed under the name uncultured bacterium. RNAcentral describes it as "partial 16S ribosomal RNA". It matches the Rfam family "Bacterial small subunit ribosomal RNA", at positions 523 to 769 of the family's 1533-position model. The record is from RNAcentral.